GCCCAUUUUACAAACAGGAAGAUCUGAAUCAUCUUCAUAAAAGCCGGUGAGGUCGUCAGGCAGGGUUCUCUCAUUGACCCAUUUUAUAGGUGAAGAAACACAGACUCUGAGAGGUUCAUGGACCUGCUUGAGAUCACCCAGCUGUUUGAAGGCCAUCUCUUCCAAGGGGAAGGUGGAGGGACAGAACAGCUGAGUAAUUCUGUUUUCCAUGUCAUCUGUUAACCCUGCACCAUCUGCCAAAUCUACUCUCAGCCCCGACCCGCUCUCUCUGACUGGCUGGAGUGGGGGAGGAGGCGUUUUCCUGGGGUCUGGACUGAGAAUACCCACAGAAAACUCAUUUUUCUGCUCAGAACCAACAGCAGUGGCCUAGAAUUACAGGGCGUGUCAGGGAGUGGAGCGAGAGGGGAGAAAGGAUUUUCUGACAUCAGAGGGAUACAAUAGCAGUCCCCUGCCCCCUACUCUCAGCGACUUGUCUUCACGCCCCUCACACCUUCACCUUGGUGAGGCUCUGGAUCUGUGGGGAGGGUGGUUGACCACAGCAACCAGAGCCCUGCCAGACGCUCUCGGGGUGAAGGCAAAGUAAGUCCAUCUUACAGGGAGCUGAGGCAGAUUUAUGAGGCCUCGGGUGUGGCCGGCUGUUACUCAGCCUCUGACUUUUUAAUUCCCCAGCCUCCUCACCCACCCCGCCUCCUCCCCAAGAAGGCCUUUGUGCAGGACAAUGAGGAAUCUAUAAAUUCCGGGGGACAGGGACGUGGGGGAGGGGAGCACCGGUCACUUCGGCUCAGUGUAGACAGUAAACGGGGGGCCUUCACGGACCUGCCGCGUCUCAACUGUUCCACACAGGCCCAGAGAGAACCGUGGGGCCAAGCCUUACCACUGCCUUUGACAGACAACAAGCUGAGCCUCCCAGGCGGAGGAUGUCUCUAGUCCCUGCUUCGUUCACUCCGUCUUUGGGUUUGGGUGUCAAUACAUCACUGAAUUUAUUUAUUCUCCCUCUCUUCCUCAUCCCCUAGUCAUUCCCUCGCCCAGGCAUUAUUCACUCAACACUCGCUGAGUACUCAGUGUCCAGGUCAAG
This is a long non-coding RNA of Bos taurus (domestic cattle), 1075 nucleotides long. Lineage: Eukaryota; Metazoa; Chordata; Mammalia; Artiodactyla; Bovidae. The record is from Ensembl.